UACGGAGGGGGCUAGCGUUGUUCGGAAUUACUGGGCGUAAAGCGCACGUAGGCGGCUUUGCAAGUCAGAGGUGAAAGCCCGGGGCUCAACCCCGGAAUUGCCUUUGAGACUGCAGGGCUAGCAGGUGAGAGAGGUGAGUGGAAUUCCGAGUGUAGAGGUGAAAUUCGUAGAUAUUCGGAAGAACACCAGUGGCGAAGGCGGCUCACUGGCUCAUACUGGACGCUGAGGUGCGAAAGCGUGGGGAGCAAAC
RNAcentral lists this ribosomal RNA (250 nucleotides) under uncultured Sphingomonas sp. RNAcentral's name for it is "partial 16S ribosomal RNA". It matches the Rfam family "Bacterial small subunit ribosomal RNA", at positions 524 to 773 of the family's 1533-position model. Lineage: Bacteria; Pseudomonadati; Pseudomonadota; Alphaproteobacteria; Sphingomonadales; Sphingomonadaceae. The record is from RNAcentral.